GACGAACCGUGCGAACGUUGUUCGGAAUCACUGGGCUUAAAGGGCGCGUAGGUGGGCUGCCGCGUCCGGGGUGAAAUCCCACGGCUCAACCGUGGAACGGCCUCGGAUACGGGCGGCCUCGAGGGGGGUAGGGGCAUCUGGAACUGUGAGUGGAGCGGUGAAAUGCGUUGAUAUUCACAGGAACUCCGGUGGCGAAGGCGAGGUGCUGGACCCCUUCUGACGCUGAGGCGCGAAAGCGUGGGGAGCGAACAGG
This 253-nucleotide ribosomal RNA is filed under the name uncultured bacterium. RNAcentral describes it as "partial 16S ribosomal RNA". It matches the Rfam family "Bacterial small subunit ribosomal RNA", at positions 524 to 776 of the family's 1533-position model. The record is from RNAcentral.